AACGCUAGCUACAGGCUUAACACAUGCAAGUCGAGGGGCAUCAGGAAGAAAGCUUGCUUUCUUUGCUGGCGACCGGCGCACGGGUGAGUAACACGUAUCCAACCUGCCGAUGACUCGGGGAUAGCCUUUCGAAAGAAAGAUUAAUACCCGAUGGUAUAUUUGAAAGGCAUCUUUCAGCUAUUAAAGAAUUUCGGUCAUUGAUGGGGAUGCGUUCCAUUAGGUUGUUGGCGGGGUAACGGCCCACCAAGCCAUCGAUGGAUAGGGGUUCUGAGAGGAAGGUCCCCCACAUUGGAACUGAGACACGGUCCAAACUCCUACGGGAGGCAGCAGUGAGGAAUAUUGGUCAAUGGACGAGAGUCUGAACCAGCCAAGUAGCGUGAAGGAUGACUGCCCUAUGGGUUGUAAACUUCUUUUAUACGGGAAUAAAGUUAGGCACGUGUGCCUUUUUGUAUGUACCGUAUGAAUAAGGAUCGGCUAACUCCGUGCCAGCAGCCGCGGUAAUACGGAGGAUCCGAGCGUUAUCCGGAUUUAUUGGGUUUAAAGGGAGCGUAGGCGGAUGCUUAAGUCAGUUGUGAAAGUUUGAUGCUCAACAUCUGAAUUGCAGCGCGAACUGGGAGACUUGAGUACAGUAGACGUAGGCGGAAUUCGUGGUGUAGCGGUGAAAUGCUUAGAUAUCACGAAGAACUCCGAUUG
RNAcentral lists this ribosomal RNA (693 nucleotides) under uncultured bacterium. RNAcentral describes it as "bacterial SSU rRNA". It matches the Rfam family "Bacterial small subunit ribosomal RNA", at positions 32 to 715 of the family's 1533-position model. The record is from RNAcentral.